CAGAACCGAAACUGGGAAAGCAGGACAGGGUAGUCCGAUCGACCAUGAAGCGGUCUUCUUCUUCUCCGUCCUCGCUCCCACGCGCCAUGCCAAUCCUUCUGGUGAUCGUGUGCUGCUGCUCCCUGCUGCCAUUCCCAUCCUCUGCCGUUUGCAAAGGGCGUGCAUUUGGCGACUUUGGUCAGAGUGCUGGGGCCGGGACAAAGGGAGGAGAUCAGGGGGGUGGGGUGCCAGCGCCAAGGGGAGGAGAGGACCAAUUUGAUCAUGGGGGUACGGGAUUAGGAGGAGGGAACCAAGUAGGACGGGCGCCUCCGGCGCCGCGGGGUAAGACACCGAGGAACCACAGGUGAUGUGACGACUCCUGCCACGGUGUUCAUCUGGCGGCCCCGGUGGUUAUUGGAAGCUGAUGGCUGCUGGUGUUCCUAGGGGUGGUUUGGGAUGAUGCUUAUCUUUGGCGCAGGUGCUGCCUUUCGGUUGUAAUUUCUGCUGCUGUCUCAAACUCUUUGGAACAUUUGUAUCACAUGCUAGUAGGUUUUUCUUCUUCUCAUAGUUGUUAUUCGAGAGCGAACAUUCACAAUGGGUUUCUUAUUGGUGCUCCAA
Triticum urartu is the source of this 597-nucleotide non-coding RNA. The record is from RefSeq and is a predicted model, not a curated record. NCBI's taxonomy places the organism in Eukaryota, Viridiplantae, Streptophyta, Magnoliopsida, Poales, Poaceae.